CUCUGUGACACGAACAUUUAACGAGAAAAAAAAAUAGUUUAGUAGGGGUUUCAGACAACACAUGACUUAUGAUUAUUUGUAUGAUACGUAAACCCAACCGCGCAGAUGUGACAGGAGCAGACCAGAUAGAUAGAGUAGAUCAAAUGGAAAUACAGAAAAAUGAGCGUGAAUUUAAAAAUAUAAUAAAAAAAAACUACAGUUAAAGUGUACAAAUUUCAAUAAUUUCCUUCCCCUUUUUUUCUCAGUGCUCUUAUUCCUUUCACUCAACAGAUUCCUCCUGAUGUUAUGGAGAUGAAAAGCGUGGGAGUUCAGACUGAUUAUCUGGAGAGUGCGAGACAGACAGACCCCUUCACUCCAGACUGUGCGGUUCGUCCUGGGACCCCACAACCCCAGCCCCCACAGAAGGAGAGAUGAUCGAGAGGGCAAGAAUGAAUAGAGUUUGGGAGGCAACUCUGGCCCCACUGAAAGACCUCUCUCAGCUGGACAAGAAGAGAAGGAUGAUGGAGGAGAUGGAGAGGAAGGAGAAAGAGAACAUUUCGGAAGCUGCUGGCAGAACGGAGGAAUGUGGAGGGAAAAUUGAAGAGAUGUGAUAUUAUAAAAGAUUACUCAGAUUAGGGGUUUCAGACAUACGUGCCUCUGUCUCGGUUUGGCCCGAUCUCUGUCCGAAAUUCCAACCACAACAUGGUCAAGAGUCACUUUCUCAGCACGUAUGAAGGUCUGUUAGAACUGGAGGCAAGUCUUUCUCCAUCUGUCAAGGAGACUUGAAUCAAAGUGUCAAGACCUAGUGACUAAAGGCUUCAUCGCACACUCAGCCCGCUCAUGAAGACUCAUCAGGCCCUGAAAGAGAAAACGGGAAAGAAGCCUCUGUGGAUCCUCUUUAAGACGGAAAAACCUGCUCCACGACCUGCAACCCCCGGGGUGGAAACCCCCAGAGAUACAGCCCGCGAUCAUGCUGUAGACA
Carassius auratus (goldfish) is the source of this 961-nucleotide long non-coding RNA. RefSeq lists it as uncharacterized. The record is from RefSeq and is a predicted model, not a curated record. The transcript has 6 exons. Lineage: Eukaryota; Metazoa; Chordata; Actinopteri; Cypriniformes; Cyprinidae.